CGAGCAACGCCGCGUGAACGAUGAAGUACUUCGGUAUGUAAAGUUCUUUUAUUGAAGAAGAAAAAAUAGUGGAAAAACUAUCUUGACGCUAUUCAAUGAAUAAGCCCCGGCAAACUAUGUGCCAGCAGCCGCGGUAAUACAUAGGGGGCAAGCGUUAUCCGGAAUUAUUGGGCGUAAAGGGUGCGUAGACUGUUUAAUAAGUCUAUAGUUUAAUUUCAGUGCUUAACACUGUCCUGCUAUAGAAACUAUUAGACUAGAGUGAGAUAGAGGUAAGCGGAAUUCCAUGUGUAGCGGUAAAAUGCGUAAAUAUAUGGAGGAACACCAGAGGCGUAGGCGGCUUACUGGGUCUUUACUGACGUUGAGGCACGAAAGCGUGGGGAGCAAACAGGAUUAGAUACCCUGGUAGUCCACGCUGUAAACGAUGAGUACUAAGUGUCGGGGAAACUCGGUACUGAAGUUAACACAUUAAGUACUCCGCCUGAGUAGUACGUACGCAAGUAUGAAACUUAAAGGAAUUGACGGGACUCCGCACAAGCGGUGGAUCAUGUUGUUUAAUUCGAAGAUACACGAAAAACCUUACCAGGUCUUGACAUACUCUGCAAAGCUAUAGCAAUAUAGUGGAGGUUAUCAGGGAUACAGGUGGUGCAUGGUUGUCGUCAGCUCGUGUCGUGAGAUGUUAGGUUAAGUCCUAAAACGAGCGCAACCCUUAUCGUUAGUUACCAGCAUGUUAUGAUGGGUACUUUAACGAGACUGCCAAU
Molecule: ribosomal RNA, 758 nt
Filed under: Candidatus Phytoplasma oryzae
Lineage: Bacteria; Bacillati; Mycoplasmatota; Mollicutes; Acholeplasmatales; Acholeplasmataceae
Description: bacterial SSU rRNA
Rfam family: Bacterial small subunit ribosomal RNA
Source: RNAcentral